GUGGGGAAUAUUGCACAAUGGGGGAAACCCUGAUGCAGCGACGCCGCGUGAGUGAAGAAGUUAUUCGUAAUGUAAAGCUCUAUCAGCAGGGAAGAAAAAAGACGGUACCUGACGAAGAAGCACCGGCUAAAUACGUGCCAGCAGCCGCGGUAAUACGUAUGGUGCAAGCGUUAUCCGGAUUUACUGGGUGUAAAGGGAGCGUAGACGGCGAUGUAAGUCUGAAGUGAAAGCCCGGGGCCCAACCCCGGGACUGCUUUGGAAACUGUGUGGCUGGAGUACAGGAGGGGCAGGCGGAAUUCCUGGUGUAGCGGUGAAAUGCGUAGAUAUCAGGAGGAACACCGGCGGCGAAGGCGGCCUGCUGGACUGAAACUGACGUUGAGGCUCGAAAGCGUGGGGAGCAAACAGGA
RNAcentral lists this ribosomal RNA (407 nucleotides) under uncultured bacterium. RNAcentral's name for it is "bacterial SSU rRNA". It matches the Rfam family "Bacterial small subunit ribosomal RNA", at positions 354 to 777 of the family's 1533-position model. The record is from RNAcentral.